GCUCAGAUUCAACGCCGGCGGCGCGCCUAACACAUGCAAGUCGAGCGAGAAAGGGGGGCAACUCCUGAGUACAGCGGCGUACGGGUGAGUAACACGUGGAUAAUCUACCUCUUAGUGGGGAAUAACGAUGGGAAACCGUCGCUAAUACCGCAUAAGCCUGAGAAGGGAAAGCAGCAAUGCGCUGAGAGAGGAGUCCGCGGCCGAUUAGCUAGUUGGUGAGGUAACGGCCCACCAAGGCAAAGAUCGGUAGCCGGCCUGAGAGGGCACACGGCCACACUGGCACUGAAACACGGGCCAGACUCCUACGGGAGGCAGCAGUGGGGAAUCUUGCACAAUGGGGGAAACCCUGAUGCAGCGACGCCGCGUGAGCGAUGAAGCCCUUCGGGGUGUAAAGCUCUUUCGGCAGGGAAGAUUAUGACGGUACCUGCAGAAGCAGCUGCGGCUAACUACGUGCCAGCAGCCGCGGUAAUACGUAGGCAGCGAGCGUUGUUCGGAGUUACUGGGCGUAAAGGGUGUGUAGGCGGUUCUUCAAGUUUGGUGUGAAAUCUCCCGGCUCAACUGGGAGGGUGCGCCGAAUACUGAGGGACUAGAGUACGGGAGAGGAAAGUGGAAUUCCUGGUGUAGCGGUGAAAUGCGUAGAUAUCAGGAGGAACACCGGUGGUGUAAACGGCUUUCUGGACCGUAACUGACGCUGAGACACGAAAGCGUGGGUAGCAAACAGGAUUAGAUACCCUGGUAGUCCACGCCCUAAACGAUGCAUAUUUGGUGUGGGUCAUUCAGUUGAUCCGUGCCGGAGCUAACGCGUUAAAUAUGCCGCCUGGGGAGUACAGUCGCAAGGCUGAAACUCAAAU
Molecule: ribosomal RNA, 851 nt
Filed under: uncultured bacterium
Lineage: Bacteria
Description: bacterial SSU rRNA
Rfam family: Bacterial small subunit ribosomal RNA
Source: RNAcentral